This 23-nucleotide non-coding RNA is filed under the name Arabidopsis thaliana (thale cress). The record is from RNAcentral. Lineage: Eukaryota; Viridiplantae; Streptophyta; Magnoliopsida; Brassicales; Brassicaceae.
CAGAAACGUCCUACAACAAGUCA